CAGAGGCAGGGCAGUGGCAGUGGCAGCCUGGGCAGGUGGGAGGCUGGUAAGAUUUCACGUGUGAAGUGGAAUGCACAUCCUUGGACUUCAGCCGCUCUCCCUGUAACCAGAGAAUGCUCAGGAAUCUUGGCACUGGGUAAGCAACAACAACAACAAAAUAUGCUGGAGCCAUCCCUCUCCCAAGCUGAAUGUCUCAUCUCUACACACUUCCAGGAUCUGCACCAUGAAGAUGCCAGCAUCAGGUAUUUGGACCCAGGGUCUCCAAAGGACAGGAUGAAGCUCAGACAUGCUCAUAUCUCAUAAAUCAAAACAGCUGAAGGGUUCCCGUUACACAGCUGAUUCGAAUGCCUUCAAGCACACCAUUACAUCUCAGUUGGUGCAGGACAAGCUUGUGAUCCAUUGCACCUGUGUAAGAAAGAAAAAAAGAAGACAAAACAAAAAAAGGGGCAGCUUUCCAAUAGUCCACUAAACUCUUCCUGGAAUUCCACACCAGAUUUUAUGAUUUACCUGGAGUUUUGGUUUCAUUGGGGAUGAUGCAGCGCACAAAAUGUGGAGCACGAGGGAAGGAAGAGCGAGGCUGCACAGAAGCCCAGUUUGAGGCACAUGUCUUUCAUCUACCAAUCAGAGGAGCAGAAGACUUCCCCUGCUCCCCCCCCCAGUAACAUCCAAACGUGACGUCGGAAAAGUUACCGUUGCUGCUAAAAGGGAUUGGCCUGUUUGCAGAAUGCAGAAGCGCAUUGCUAGCAGAUGAUGGCAUAUAUCCCAUUGGAAGAUGAGGAGAAAGAAAACAGGAACUGGAUGAGACAAAACGUCUAACCUAGAAAGGAGCAGACAGUGACUUAUCAUCAACUUGCCAUUCUCCUGAACAGGCAUGACCUAAGCAACCAUGCCAAAGAAUGAUAACUAUGCUACCAAAGAGGGAAUUGGUCACAGCUGAUGAAAGCAGCCAUUGUGUAAAUCAAAACAUACUAAUGAGAAACAAAGGGCAAGUACAUUAAACUAGGAAAACUCCCGGGCUAGUCAUUCACUUAACACAGAAUGAAAUUACAAAUCUCGACUGUUUUCUCUUAAAAUCAGCCACUUUCACUUGUGUGUGUAUGUUUCUACCCUUCAUUGCUCAACAGAAUCAAGUUUCAAAAACAGAAUACAAAGUACAUGCUGAUUUUAGCAAUUGAUUCUCGGACUGCACUGUAUUGCAAAUUUUAUUAUUUAUUUAUUUAGUUAGUUGCAUUUCUAAACCGCCCUAUAGCUAGCAGCUCCCAGGGCGGUGUACAACAUGAUAAAACCACAAUAUUUAAAAUACAGCAAGUGUGUAUUGCGCAGACAAUAUAAACAUUAUAUAAACAAAGUGAAAGAAAACUAAAAAAAUAAGAUUAAAAGCUUAAAUACUUUAAAAUGCCUGGGUGAAGAGGUGGGUUUUACCUGGCACCGAAAAGAUGACAGAGAAGGCGCCAGGCGUAUCUCAUCUGGGAGGGCAUUCCAUAAUUCGGGGGCCACCACCGAAAAGGCCCUAGAUCUUGUUACUGUUCUCUGGGCCUCUGUAUGGGUUGGGACCUGGAGAAGGGCCUUAGACGUCGAGCGGAGUGAACGGGUAGGAACAUAGCGGGAGAGGCGUUCCAUCAGAUAUUGCGGUCCAUUGCCGUUAAGGGCUUUAUAGGUAAGGACCAACACUUUGAAUCUAGCCCGGAAACAUAUUGGAAGCCAGUGCAGUUGGGCCAGAAUAGGUGUUAUGUGGUUGAAUUUCUUCGUCCCAGUAAGAACUCUGGCCGCAGCAUUCUGCACUAGCUGAAGUUUCCGAAUCGUUUUCAAAGGUAACCCUACGUAGAGAGCAUUACAGUAAUCCAAUCUAGAGGUUACCAGAGCGUGAAUAACUGAGGCUAGGUUCUCCCUGUCCAGAUAGGGUCGUAGUUGGGCUACCAGCCAAAGCUGGUAGAACGCAUUUCGUGCCACAGAGGCUACCUGGGCCUCAAGUGACAGAAGCGGAUCUAAUAAGAUCCCCAAACUACGGACCUGUUCCUUUAGGGGGAGUGUAACCCCAUCUAGGAGAGGUCUGACAUCAACCAUCUGAGCAGAGGGCCCCCCAACUAGCAGCAUCUCAGUCUUGUCAGGAUUGAGCUUCAGUUUGUUUGCUCUCAUCCAGUCCAUUAUCGCGGCCAGGCAGCGGUUCAGUACAGCAACAGCCUCACCUGAAGAAGAUGAAAAGGAGAAAUAGAGCUGCGUAUCAUCAGCAUAUUGCUGGAAACGCACUCCAUAACUCCUGAUGACCUCACCCAGCGGCUUCAUAUAGAUAUUAAAAAGCAUGGGGGACAGAACUGAGCCCUGCGGGACCCCAUACUGGAGCACCCAGGGACUCGAGUAGUGUUCCCCAAGCAUCACCUUCUGGAGAUGAUUCUCAAGAUAGGAGCACAGCCACCGCCAAGCAGUGCCUCCAACUCCUAACUCCGCGAGUCGCCCCAGAAGGAUACCAUGGUCGAUGGUAUCAAAAGCCGCUGAGAGAUCAAGGAGAACCAACAGAGUUACACUCCCUCUGUCUUUCUCCCGACAGAGGUCAUCAUACAGGGCAACCAAAGCUGUUUCUGUACCAAACCCCGGCCGAAAGCCGGAUUGAAAUGGAUCCAGAUAAUCAGUUUCAUCCAAGAGGGCCUGGAGUUGGCGAGCGACCACGCGCUCUAGAACCUUGCCCAGAAAUGGAACAUUUGCUACCGGCCUAUAGUUGUUAAAGUUAUCAGGGUCCAAUGAGGACUUUUUUAGGAGCAGUCGCACUACCGCCUGUUUCAGGCAAGGUGGGACCACUCCCUCUCGUAAUGAGGCAUUAAUUACCUCCUUGGCCCAGCCGGCCGUUCCAUUUCUGCUAGCUUUUAUUAGCCACGAGGGGCAAGUGUCCAGAGCGGAAGUAGUCACCCGUAUCUGUCCAAGCACCUUGUCCACAUCCUCGAGCUGUACCAGCUGAAACUCAUCCAAUAAAACAGGACAAGACUGUGUUCUGGACACCUCAUUAGAUUCAACUGUUACAAUAUUGGAGUCAAGGUCCCGACGGAUGUUUAUGAUCUUGUCUUGGAAGUGCCUCGCAAACUCAUUACAGCGGGCUAUUGAUGGUAAUAUUGCGUCCAGAGAACCAGAGUGUAAAAGUCUCCGGACAACCUUAUAAAAUUCCACUGGGCGGUUACAAGAUGACUGAAUGGAGGUAGCGAAGUAUUGCUUCUUCGCCAUCCUCACCGCCUUCACAUAGCGUUUCGUGGAGGCCUUCACAAGUGCAUAAUUACAGCCGUCGGGAGUUCGUCUCCAUUUACCCUCCAACCGUCUCCUUUCUUGCUUCAUCACUCUUAGCUCCUCGGUAAACCAAGGGGCCAAUUGAGCUCUGCAAUGGAGAGGGCGCACCGGGGCGAUUGUGUCAACUGCCCGGGUCAUUUCCGUAUUCCACAGAGUGACCAGGGUUUCGACAGGAUCGUCAGUUUUAUCAGCUGGAAAAUCCCCCAGAGCCCUCUGAAAUCCUUCAGGAUUCAUUAGUCUCCGGGGACGGACCAUCUUAAUUGGUCCUCCACCCUUGCAGAGGGGAGAAGAUGAUGUGAGUCUAAAUCUCAAGAGGCGAUGAUCUGUCCAUGACAAAGGAAUAGAUGUAAGAUUCCUCACUCCCAGAUCACCUUCCCCCAUUCCAGUGGCAAAAAUCAAGUCUAGAGUAUGUCCUGACACAUGCGUCGGGCCAGCAACAAAUUGAGACAGCCCCAUGGCUGUCAUGGAGGUCAUGAAGUCCUGAGCCGCUCCAGAGGCGGCCUCGGCAUGAAUGUUGAGAUCCCCCAAUACCAAAAGUUUGGGAGAUCGCAACACCAAGUCCAAGACCACCUCUGUCAGCUCAGUUAGGGAAGCUGUUGGGCAGCAGGGUGGACGGUACACCAACAAUAUUCCCAGUCUGUCUCGCUGGCCCAACGUAGUGUGCAGACACUCCAGGCCAUUAGCCACUUGGAUGGGGUGCCUAACAAGAGAGAUGGAACUUCUAUAGACCACAGCAAUUCCCCCUCCCCGACUCUCGGAUCUACCCAGAUGCUGAACCGAAUACCCAGGUGGGCACAACUGGGAGAGAUUAAUACCUCCCAGAUCGCUCACCCAGGUUUCGGUAAUGCAUGCCAGAUCGGCCGCCUCAUCCAUGAUUAAAUCAUAGAUGAGGGAGGUUUUAUUAUUUACCGAUCUGGCAUUAAAGAGCAGCAACUGGAGAUCCGAGAGUUGGCUGGUAGAACUACCAGCAAUCCUGUGGAUGUGAGGAGGACCGGAACACGGCACAGCCACCAGUUGUCUGGGCCGAGUUCCCCUUAAGUGGCAAGUCCUCCUCACAGUGCCAUACCUCCCAUUACCCGUCACUGCGCUGAUUGGGGCCCCCUCUGGUCCUCCCUCCCAACACCCUAUCCUCUCCCCCAGGCACAUAAUAAAAAUAAAAUAAAUAAAAAAACUCAUACUCCAUACACAAUCACACACUCAUUCAUACAACCAUUCAUACACCCAAAUAGCAGAAAUAGCACAGCAACAACAGCAGGGUCCCAAUAGCCACGAAUUGCAACAGUGGCAGCUGUAACGUCAGGGGCUCAGAAGCGAUGAGCAGCAGCAGCAGCACAGGCAGGCAGAUGGCUCUCCCUCCCUGGGCAGCGAUGGUCCUCUUCCCUUGCAGGCAGUGGGUCUCCCAAGCCCCCUCAGCCAGCCGGCCUAUAUAUCCCCUCCAAAGAAGGGACAGAUGGAACAGUAUCAGCCACAGCUGGCUGAGUACCUGGGGCCUGGUCCUGCAAGGUGCCACGUGCAGGGCAGGAGCCCAAGAAGGAGAGAGCAGAGAUGUUAUCCAGCAGCAGCGCAGCAGCAGCAGCACAGGCAGGCAGAUGGCUCUCCCUCCCUGGGCAGUGAUGGUCCUCUUCCCCUUGCAGGCAUUCCCCUUGCAAACCAUUUUUCUGCUCUUUGCAGAUCACUGCAUUGCCUUUCAUUUUGACCAUUAUGAGAGAAGAUGCUAGGUAGGCUUUCCAUACAGUUGCUCGUCCUUUAAUACUCCAAUACAGCAACUGUAUGUGAAAUGUGUUGAGAAAGAUGAAGUAUUGCUAAGUAAUGGGUUGGUAUUACUAAGUUUGAAUGUGUUUCAUGUCACAGAGGUUUGAAGCAGUGUUCAUCACUGUUUGCUCUGGAAAAGGCCUUCAGUAUUAACCUUUAUAAUUUUUGUAACAGUUUCAUAAUUCUCCAGAAAAUACUUCACAGACCACUGUAGGUCCACAGAGCAUAUGUAAGAAUCAGUUAUUUCACACUUAGGGUGCUAAUAUCAUACUUAGGGUCAUCUGUAAACAGGAGAGGGUACUAGUUCUUUGGCUGUAGAAGUGGUUCCCAACCAGGGGGCCGUGACCCCCAGGGGGGCCAUGAACAAUAAAGAAAUGAAUUAUUUAUUAUUAUUAUUUUUAAAAGUCUUCAGUCCCUGGACACUGUCUGCUCCCACUGCCUUUCCAGACAACACCUCCCCCUUGCUCCAAACGAGAGUGGAGAACUUUUGCUGAAGUGCCAGGGCAUCUUUCAGGCACGCCAAGGGCAGGCAUCUGCCUAUAAAACAUGUGGCAGAUGCCGAAGGAGGCUGAGGGUGGAGCUACCAGGAAGAAGACGGGAUUACUAUCACCAACUCCUGUCUCCUUGCACUGCCACUGCUGAUGACGCCCUUACUCAGAAUGAGAGGAGAGGGAUUUUUGAAGCAAAAAGAAGCAAGGCUGCAAGGAAAGGCUGCUUUUCCCCAUCCUUCCUGGCCGCCAGUCUGCCUGCCUUUCUUGGCUCUUAAUUCACUGCCAUCUUCUUUUAAAAAUUAUUCUUAUUUGUAAAGCCGCCCAGAUCUCACCUUUGGCUCAAAUGGAGCCAAGGAGCAGUGAAGAAGCUCAGGACUUGCUCGCCCCCAUCUCUGAGGCUGUGUGUGUGUGCCAGCCUCCCCCCUUUCUUCCACCUACAAUCCGUCCCCCCAAUCUCUCUCUCCAAGAUGCUGCAGCAGUUGAGGGCUUCCCCCCACCUUGUGCCCAAAUGCAUGCAUGCCUGCAGAUGCUUGCAGGAGGGGCAGGUGUGUUUGUGUGUGUGUGUGCAUGUGCUGAUCUAUCUUCUGCUCCACUCUCAUUCCUCAAGUGCAUGCUAACCAAGUCAUCAGUUCUGAUGAUCACCCCAAGGCCAAAGCACUAACCCCCCUACUCAAUCUAUCCACUCUUUUAUCUUCACCCUUUAGCAUCCCCACCACUACCACAUUGCUGCUUCUUUUAUUAUUAUUAUUAUUAUUAUUAUUAUUAGUAGUAGUAGUAGUAGUAGUAGUAGUAGUAGUAGUAGUAGUAGUAGUAGUAGUAGUAGUAGUAGUUUAAAAAGCUCAGCUGAUUGGCUGAGGCUGGGGUCCACAUACUGUAGCUGAAAUGUAUGUAUGUAUUUAAUUAUUAUUGCAUUUAUAUCCCAUAUUUCCUCCAAGUUGCUCAAGGUGGGGCACAUAUUUCUUCCCCCCCCCCUUUUCAUUUUAUCCUUAUACCAACUCUGUGAGAAAGGUCAGGCUGAGAUACUGGCUGGCUCAAGGUUACCCAGUGGGCUUCAUGGCUUGAUGGGAUUUGAACCUGGAUGUUAGUCCAACACUGUAACCCACUGGUGUUGGGAGAUAGGACUGUACAUCUUCAGAUUAUGUGGGGGGGAAGGGGAUACCAAUUUGAUGAACCUUUUCAUUAAGAAAAGAAAGCAACACUUCCCUAUCUUCGGGGAGCUUUUUAUGGAAAGGGAUAUUUAGAGAUGUCAUUUUGCCACGCACCAUUUUUUCACUUAACAGAGGCUAAAAUUACAAUUAGCAUGGGGAGGGGUCACAAAGUUUUUUGAGCUUAUAAAGGGGGUCCCGUACUCAUAAAGCCUUUGGAACUGAAAGCUGUUAAGUACAGGUCUUGAAGGGUGCUGCAUUGCUGUUGCCUAACUGUAUUAUUUUAAACUGAGUUUGAAUUAUUUUAACUGUAUGUAUGAAUGAUUUUAAUACUGUAAAUUGUUUAAUUUGAUUUUAAUCUAGACUUUUGUAUGUUUUUAAUUAUAUGUGUGCUUUUAUCUGGAAGCCACCGUGAGUUCCAGUUUUGGAAAAAGGGUGGGGUAAAAAAAUAAAAAUAAAAAUAAAAUAAAAUAAAAUAAAAUAAUAAUAGUAAUAAUAGUAAUAAUAAUAAUAAUAAUAAUAAUAAUAAUAAUAAUAAUAAUAAUAAUAAUAAUAAAGGUUGGGAACCACUGUUGUAGAGCAAGGUUUGCUUCAUGCAUAUUUAGAGUCUUGUGGCACCUUUUCAGAGAGGUGAGGAAGUUGGCUUUAUGACUGACAGGUCACUGUGCACGGCCUUGCUCUGAAAAAUUGCGAGGUAGCUUUGUGGUUAUUCCAAAGGCCAGUAAGUACUGUAUAAGAAUGCCUUCUACUGAAAAAAGGUUACUCCUUAGCCUGAUCCAAGUGAUAAGCCCCUACAAGUGUCUAAAUAGCACCGGGUAAGGAGUCUCUGAAAAAACAUCUGUACGCAUAUGUCUGUGUACAGCAUGAGAAACAUCUCGUAAGAUACACACUGAAGAAAACUGAGAUACUCCAGAGGCGUCUGUAUUAUACACUGCUUCAGCUUGGGCCACAGGAACUUGAUAGAACUAUCUAUCCUUUCUGAUUAGGCCAAAGCCCUUUUAGCAUUGGCAUGAGCUAUAAAGCUAAAAUUAAUAAUAGUAACAGUAUUUGUCCCCAGACAAAUGCACAACUCAUCAUAGAUUCAAUGAUACCCAUGCAAAGCACAAUCUCCCAGCUUUGCAUAACUUGCUCCUUCAUGUGAAUUCUACCUUGAGCCUUAACAUUAAGCCAGGGGCAGCAUUCAGCAUUGCAGUCUUGCUUUGAAACAUCAAACAGCUAUUCAGCCUCCUUGAACCAGGAAGGGGACUUGUUUGUGAAGCAGGUGAAUGUGACAGAAACAACAGACUGCAGGGAUAUACCCUAGUCAGUCACUUCCAUCUAGUUCCAAGUAGAGUGAGUGGCAAACUGUCCUCUCUUUCACUAAGGUCACUGAAGAAUGGUCAAUAAACAGUCACAUCUCUCAUGAAAGAUGAAUUCUUAGAAUCCCCUCUAAGCCUGGAGAAUGAGCUCUGUCUUUUUUUAGCAGCAACCUUCCAUGAUCAAGCGCCUUUUGAAUGUACUCUCAUGUUUGUAUUAAGUGUCCAUGGAAAGCUGAGAUGUUCCAGAAGCAUCCGUUUUAUGUUAGACUUCAAACAUAAGGACAGGAACUUUGCAGGGUAAUUUUGAUAGUUAGAGAGGAGAAAGGGAAAAUGGGGGUUUUCCCAUGGCAUACAAACUGGGCAGUAGCCAUAGAUCUGGGUUCCAAAUAGUUGCUGUUGCAAGCUAAGGAUCUCUCACCACCGCUCCCCUUUGGUCUAGUAGGUUUUUCUACCCAUUGGGUAGCAAACACAAAAGAAGAAAACUCUGCAACAGAUCUUAACCACAACCAUUAAGGACCCUUCCCCUUGACUCAGCACAGUGAGUAUGCAUUAUUGCCUGUAUCCAAAAGUAUUACAUAGUAAACAACUGCUAUUCACAUGCUGUGAAUUCUGUGGUAUUGCAGUGCCUUCUAUUCUAACUAACCUUGUUAUUAAUAUGUAACAGGGAAGACCAACUUUUGGAUCUUGGAGUAGGGCAAAGUCCAUCUGAGAGUCAGAAGUAUGUUCCAUUGCAUAAAUCAACUCCUUCCUGAAUAGUCAAGCUCUAUAAUGAAGGCAUCAACUCUUAGCAUGCCAGCUCCAGCAAUAGACACAGUGGUCCAGCAUUUGACAUAGCAACGUAGGCCAUCCUGCAAUACAGCCUCUAAUAAGACCAGACUAGGUAGACACCAGGUAACAGGACUGUCAAAAACAAAGUAUGUUAGCAAAGCCUGUGGUGAUUACAUGUGUGCUAAGUGCAUUUGUGACAGGUAAGUUACAUCUCCAGUAUAAUACUGAUGACAUUCAUGGGUUAUAAUUCUUAACUUCAAAUGUAUUGCUGGUUUCUCUUUUACAAUUUCUCCUUGGUGGUGGCACCCUUUUCAUGAGACCACCUCCACCCUAGGCUUAGACAAGUGACAGUGUGAAUGGCCUUCUGGUGCUUAAUUUCCAGUAGGUUUGGUAUUGACUUCAAACCUGCUUGGGUCUUCAGAUGCAUCUUAUAAUUUGAAUGUUGAACAUUUGUAUUUUUAAAGUUGCUGUUCAUUGCCUUGUGAGUUGAUGUGAAAAGUGGUACAGAAAUGUCUUAAUAAAAUACUGUAAAUAAAUUGUGACAAAGGUGUACAUGCAGCAAUCACACAUUCUGAUCUACCCAUAGGUUUUUCAUUAAUUUCAUUAAUUCCAUUAAUGGCACUGCCUGCAAUGUAGGAACUGAAUACCUUGUGAAACUGUUUGAAGGUGUGCCACAGAAUAGGAGCAAUAAUGCUAACAUUGACUGCAUGAUCCGGGAGUUUAAUAAAACAACCCAAAUGGCUUAAGUGAGCCAAAUUCAUUCAUCUAUGGAUCAGUAUAUUAGCUAGUCAUAAAUUACAGCUAUUACCUUGGAGGUAAUGAAAGUUUUGCUGUAUAAUUUACUUUAAUCAAGCAAUCAAGAUAUUUCAGGUAUCCAGGUCCCAAGCUGUAUAGGGCUUCGUACACCAAAAUAAGAACCUUGAACUUGGCCUCGGUACCAAAUGGUCAGCCAGUGCAGUUCUUUCAGCAGCAGGGUAACAUGCUGGUGAUACCCUGCCCCAGUGAGCAGUCUUGCCGCUGCAUUUUGCACUAGCUGCAGCUUCCAGACCAACCUCAAGGGCAGCCCCACAUAGAGCGCAUUACAGUAAUCCAGCCUGGAGGUUACCAGUGCAUGGACAACAGUGGUCAGGCUAGCCCGGUCCAGAAACGGCUGCAGCUGUCUCAUCAGCCGAAACUGGUAAAAGGCACUCCUAGCCACUGAGGUCACCUGGGCCUCUAGCGACAAAGAUGGAUCCAGGAGCACCCCCCCCCCACAGACUAUGGACCUGCUCUUUCAGAGGGAGUACAACUCCAUCCAAAUCAGGCAACUGACCAAUUAUCUGAACUCGGGAACCACCAACCCAUAGUGCCUCCAUCUUGCUAGGAUUCAGACUCAGUUUAUUGGCCCUCAUCCAGCCCACCACCAAGUCCAGGCAGCGGUCCAGGGCUUGCAUAGCCUCUCCCCAUUCAGAUGUUACAGAGAAAUGGAGCUAGGUAUCGUCAGCAUACUGCUGACACCUCGCCCAAAAUCUCCUGGUGACCACUCCCAAGGGCUUCAUAUAGAUGUUAAACAGCAUAGGGGACAAGAUAGUACUCCUGCAGCACCCCACAACACAACUGCCUGGGGGCUGAAAGACAAUCACCUAAUGCUAUUUUCUGAAACAACCUUGGAGAUAGGAUUGGAACCACUGUAAAACAGUGCCUCUGAUACCCAGCUCACCAAGUCGGCCCAGAAGGACACCAUAGUCAAUGAUAUCAAAAGCCGCUGAGAGAUCAAGUAAGAGUAACAGGGUUGCACUCUCCCUGUCCUUCUGCCAAUAAAGGUCAUCCAUCAGGGCGACCAAGGCCGAUUCAGUCCCAUAACCAGGCUUGAACCCAGACUGGGAUGGGUCAAAAUUAUCUGUUUCAUCCAAGAGUACUUGCAAUUGCUGCGCCACAACCCUCUCAAUCACCUUCCCUAUAUAAUCAUAUUCUAAUAGUUGUUAGCUGGUAUUGUGUGCAAAAUGGUCCUUGAACAGGAUGUGAUUCUUCAUUAUGUAGUGUAGAAGGUUCUAAAGUUCUGUUGUUUUUUUAAAAAGGUUGUUUCACAGGAUAUUUCUAUAAAUAUUAGUAGUGCUUGGUAAACAGCCUGCAAUUCACUCUUGAAGUGCCCCCAUGAAGAAAGUUUCAACUUAUCUCCAAACAUUCAGAUGAGGCAAUAAAGUUGUUGCUAAGUGAUUUCAUUGGGUUCAGAAAAGAGAUUGGCUGUUUGGCAUAAUUCCGUUUUCUAUCUAGAUAUUGCUGCAUACAUGUGUAUUUAUAUUGCCAGCCUUAUUAGGAACAUAUAAUACAUGUAAGAGCAAUGUUAAAAUGUACAAUGUAUGUUCAGUCUUACCUUGCAAGUGGUUGGCCCUUUCCACUGGUGAGAUUCAAAAUCUUCUUUAUAUGCUCACUUUAAUGGCUGCCAGUGUAUUUGUGAAAGGGGGCAGGGGAUAAGAGUGUGAGUUGUUGGAGCAAAUAAGCAAAGGCCCAGUAUGCAAGUAAUUAUAUCAGCAAGAAAAAAGAUUAGAGGAGGGCCAAAGUGUUUGAAGCUCCACAGGUGAGUAUGAUGGUGAGAAUCUAAAAGACUCAAACUGGGUAUUUAGUUUCAAACUUCAUCAGCUUCACCAGCUGUACAAAACACAUUUCAGGCUUCUUCCAGAACUAUACAUUAUGAGCUGCUGUGGAAAAUGGCAUCCUUCUGUUGGUAUCUCCCCUCUUCUUUUACUAUACCACUUACCUUAUGUUGCCAUGGCCAUCACAUUAUCUUUAUUCCCACCCUCACCUCUAGCAGUCAAUUAUGUACAGCAGAAGUGUGUGUGUGUGUGGGGGGGGGGGAAGUAUAACAUGAUGAUGUCACAACAUGAAGGAAGUGAUAGGGAAGAAGUCAACAAGAUGUCAGUUUGGCAGUAGCCAUCCUUACACAGGAAGGAUAAUAUAUUUUGCCAUACACUGAACAUAAGACCAGAAAUAUUGUCAUUGGAGGAGUCCAACAGAGCUAGGAGUAUGUGUUACAUUUUAUUGGGGGGGGGGGGAAGCAAAUGUAAACUAAAACUGGUUUUGAAUUACAAUACAACAUUAAUAAACAUUUUCCAACUUAGAAAGCUCUUCAGUCAAGGAACAAAAAGUCAAGGAAUCUGGCCUAUUUACUUUAAAACCUGCAAGGAUAAGCUUGAGAGGAGACUGUCAGGGAUGGUUUAAGUUUUCUUGAGGGGUGUAAUUCAAUGCUUUAUGGAACUUUUCUGUCAGUGGUGGUGACAGAUGUUACUCUUACUUCAGGGUGCUUUUUGUACUCACAAUCUCUAAGAGUUUCAAAUAAAGUUUCUGGUAAAGCCUCCAAUAUUAUUUUACAGUCACAGCAGCUUUCUUGCAUGUUAGCUUCCUCUGGGAAUUAUGGGCACAUGACCUAGCCACCUGAGAGUACCAACCAAAGGCAAUUUUGUCACAUUUCUUUCAAAUGUUUGUCUAGCAACCAGCCAUGAGAACAUUAAAUGCAAAUAUCUCAGAAUCAGAAAGGACUUUUGCAUUUAAUAUUAGAGGAUUUAAAUGAGCUACAUUUGUUGUCCCACAUAACAAAUAUUCAUUCAGGUGUAAUUAGUACUAUGUCCUGCUAAAUUCAACACUCCAAUCCAUGUCCUGUUCUUUUUCAAAAAAAUGUUUUUAUUGAUUUUUUAAUUAAAUUGAACAAACAGAAACAAGGAUACAGAGUACAAUUUAUAGGUUUACAAAAAUAUUAAAGGGUUUACAUUUCACACUCCUAAGCAAUCACAGUUAGUCAUGUAUGAUGCCUGCUUUGUCUUGCAUAACCAGAAAUCUAGUUUUCAGCCAUGAAUACAUAACUGCACCACAAAGAGACAUGGGUAAUGGGUGGGGAGACGGUAGGCAAAGUUCUGUUGACAUAUGCCAAAAAAGGGUGCCAUGUGUCAUCAAAUUUAUCUCUGCACAAUUGAUCUCUGAUAAUGCGGCUGUGGUACAUUAAU
This is an RNA transcript of Rhineura floridana, 12701 nucleotides long. It is a transcript of the gene named ADP-ribose/CDP-alcohol diphosphatase, manganese dependent, with no coding region annotated. The record is from RefSeq and is a predicted model, not a curated record. The transcript has 9 exons. NCBI's taxonomy places the organism in Eukaryota, Metazoa, Chordata, Lepidosauria, Squamata, Rhineuridae.